GGGUGGGGCGCUUACCAGAGGUGAGGGGACACAGUGAUGUAGGUGGCCGGGCCCCCUGUGCCCCUGUUUUGGCGCCAACGUUGAAUCUGAGUUAACCAGCUGUUAUGAAUGUUAAAAUCCGUAUAAUCUGGUAUAAUUUAAAGGGAAGGAAGUUGUGUCUAUGCGUUAAUAAUGCAGUCGCCCUUGAUGGUGGAAGAAAGCGUAAAUAAUGUUUUAUUAUUGUUAUUAUCAUUUAAAUCACAUAACGUUAAAAAGUGAUCAUUUUGAGGUCUGUUUUCUUUGACUUUUUCCCCCUUUUCUUUAUUAUGAUUCAUAUAUAAUAUAAAUAUAAUAUAUUUUUAAUGGCAGUAUUUAAUGUCACUGUAAUUUUCAGGUCCAUUUUUUUUUUUUAUUCUCUUUUUAACAUUUUUUUUUCCACACUGUGUCGAAAAGUCGUAUAAAACUCUGUAAGAUAACUCUUUCGGAAGACGUCCGCGUGUGUUUAAUUCUAACAGCUUUCUCUUUAGAGCGUAACAAUGACGGUGUGCUUUUUAAAAAAAAUGUUUUUACCAGCUGCCUUUCGACUUCCGUUCGAAGCGAGUUUUUUUCGCGCUUUUCUCAGCGCGAGGAAACGUGUUGAAAUCCGCGUCUAAUGUCGCCACGUAUAAAGCGCUAAACGGUUUGUCCGUCGUGGACGCUUUCUGCCUUAGCGCGUUUCAUCGAAUGGAGGGACUGAUAGAAAAGCAAGAGUCCCGUCGGUUAUAAUAACUAUUAUUUUUAAAUAAAUAAAUAAAUAAAUAAAGCCUUAUUGGUAAAUAAAGGUAAAUAGAGAUUUAAAUAGAGUCACUUACGUUAAACUCGAUAUAUUUAAUCCCGCACCCUGGUCACGUGACCCUAAAUUCUCACCUGAUUACGUUGUAUUUGGAGCGAACCGAAUCAGUCUGGACGUGACCCGAGUGUGAAACACGCUAAUGAUAACACACCGAUCCAUGAGAGUGUGUGAGGAGAGCAGGAUGAUGUUCGCUCCACAUCUGUUUAUCAGUGACGGGAAUAAAUAAAUAAAUAAAUAAAUAAAUAAAUAAAUAAAUAAAUAAAUUCUCUCAGGUAUAUCGAAUAUAUAUAUAUAUAUAAAUCUAUAUAACAAGAUAAAUCUAUACAACAUUUUUAAAUAAAUGAUGGGAAAUAAAAGCCACUGCCAUUUUUGUCACGUCAGCUCAUCAUCCUUUGCUCUGUGAGUGGAGGCCGUGUGUGUUUUGUUUAUUUUUAUCUGUGUGGGUUUUCUUUAUGGGGCGUCGUUCAUGGGAAGGUUCUACACUCUCAGAACAAAACGGGUACUAAAGUGCAUAUACCCAAAAAACAAAUCCAGGAUCGUUCCCGAUUCCGUCGGACUUCUCCCUCCGGGGAUCUUUUGCAAUGUUACGAACUCUAAAAUCCACAAAAAUCUGGGGCUUAUAUAUAUAUAUACACACCACGAGUUUGCGCUCAAGGACAUAAAACUGCAGUGUUAUUCUGUAAAAAAUCUUUUCUGGUGUGGUUUCUUCUAUUACUACGUGUUUUAUCCAGGUCUUCUCGUCUUUUUUUAAAUUUUUUAUUAUUUUUUUUAAACUCUUCGGGGACUUUUAAACACUUACAACCAGUGUGUUUGUGGAUUUCCAAACUACCAGCAUUGAACAACUACAAAAAAAAACAAAAAACAACAACAACAACAACACAUUGUAACUACCAUUACUACUUCAAUUAAUAUGAGUCUUCUAGUACUGCUGAUUUUUUUUCUUUCUGUUUUUUUUUUCUUUCUUUUCGGUUCACUCCUCAAUCCCAAGUUUCACUGUGAUCGCUGAGGCGGCUGGGAAAUGAAGGCGUGUACUUCACGGUCACUCAGGGGUCCUGACCUGUCACAGGCUCGGGUCAGGGGUCAGCUCAUAGGUCAUUUAGCUGGACAUCUUUUUUUCUCCAAUGAAAGCAUUUCAGAUACCGAUCCUAGAGAAAUCGAGUGGACUGUGAUACGAUUAAGGGCGCAUACAAAUAGGACACAGCCAUCAAACAAAGUAAGAUCUGGGUAACAAAAGCAAAACAACAACAACAAAAAAAAAAGGUUGCUAAAUGCGAUCGAGCGCUGAGAUCCAGCCAUAAUGUACGAACGCGGUGCGUCACAGUCUUCAGUGCGCACCUCAGUCCAGUAACAGUAUUUACGAUUUUCAUAAAGAGCAGAUAUGCAGUAAGGCAACACACAGGACGUCUAUAUGCAAGGCAAGCGCUGGGUAAAAUGCACACACACACACACACACACACACACACACACACACAAAACACCUCCGAAUAUUUACUGUGAUCUCCUCUCACACCACCCACUCCCUCCCAACAUCCAUCACCUCUACUACCAGCAUCCUUUUCCCUGUCUACCCCCCCCCCCAACACACACGCACACACACUUCCUCCAAUACGAGUCCAGUGGGUGGUGUGAUGUCAGGUUUUUUUGUGGUGGGCUGUUUCUAACAGGUCCAGACAAUCAGCGUGUUUGUAAUUGUCAAUGUGUGAUUUUCCAAUUUUUUUGUUUUGUUUUUGUUUGUUUGUUUGUUUGUUUUUUUUGUUUGUUUUUUUCUUGUUUUGUUUUGUUUUAUGGUCAGGAUUUUAAAGGAAGAUAUUUUUAUGGUAAUUGUCGCUGGUCUAUUUUACUAUAUAUUUAUGUAAUAAAUAUGUGACUAAAUUUAUAUCACGGACUCCCUCGUUUGUUAUUGGCGUCUCUGUCCUCCAUGCUCGCUGGACGUCGGGGUUUGGAUCGGCUGUUUUAACAGCAUUUAAAGGAGCAGUUUGUAAUGUUUACUGCCCCCUGCUGGCUCUGAGGUGAAUUGAAAUUGCAAGUGAAUUUUUUUUUUCUCCAAACAUUCCUCCUCACUAAACACCUUGUGAAUUGCUUAUUUUUUUCUGUUUUUAAGAAAAUGCCUCCUAGCGGGCGGGACUAGUUUCCGGGCCAGAAAAAUAGAUUUUUUUUUAAAAAAGAAUUGAUAUGAAAAAGCAAAUCUUUGGGAAAA
This is a long non-coding RNA of Ictalurus punctatus (channel catfish), 3008 nucleotides long. The record is from Ensembl. NCBI's taxonomy places the organism in Eukaryota, Metazoa, Chordata, Actinopteri, Siluriformes, Ictaluridae.